RNAcentral lists this transfer RNA (86 nucleotides) under Pseudomonadota bacterium. RNAcentral's name for it is "Proteobacteria bacterium (groundwater metagenome) tRNA-Leu". It matches the Rfam family "tRNA". From Rfam's summary of the family: Transfer RNA (tRNA) molecules are approximately 80 nucleotides in length. Their secondary structure includes four short double-helical elements and three loops (D, anti-codon, and T loops). Further hydrogen bonds mediate the characteristic L-shaped molecular structure. tRNAs have two regions of fundamental functional importance: the anti-codon, which is responsible for specific mRNA codon recognition, and the 3' end, to which the tRNAs corresponding amino acid is attached (by aminoacyl-tRNA synthetases). tRNAs cope with the degeneracy of the genetic code in two manners: having more than one tRNA (with a specific anti-codon) for a particular amino acid; and 'wobble' base-pairing, i.e. permitting non-standard base-pairing at the 3rd anti-codon position. RNAcentral also lists the same sequence under 1 other name. The record is from RNAcentral. Lineage: Bacteria; Pseudomonadati; Pseudomonadota.
GCCGAAGUGGUGGAAUUGGUAGACACGCUAUCUUGAGGGGGUAGUAACCUAUGGUUGUGCGAGUUCGAGUCUCGCCUUCGGCACCA